CAUGAAUGAGCUGGUCAAUGCAUCAUCGACCAUCUGUGGCCACAUCUUCUGCCAGAAGUGCAUCAAGGCCUCCAUCCAGGCUCAAAAGAAGUGCCCUACCUGCCGGAGGAAGCUGACCAUGAGCAACUUCCACCGGGUCUACCUCCCGACGGCAGAUAAUUAAACCUAUCCGCCAUUCUUGGAGCAUUAGAGCCGUGGCAGCUGUGACCCUUUUUUGGCACCGGCAUUGUGGUGAUUGUAUCUGAGCUAUUCUUCACAGGGUCAUCAUGAACAUUCAGUUUUUUCCCCAACAAUUUAACAAGUGCUCGAGACGUGAUUACCAAUCUGCAUACCUGGUGGUAGUGGACACUGUUAGUAGUCUUUCCUUGUGGGAAAGUGGAAACCUGUGCUUGGUACUGUGAGAUUAAUGCUUGAAAAUAUUUGAUAUGUUUCCUGCGUGUUUAGUUU
This 447-nucleotide long non-coding RNA is filed under the name Triticum aestivum (bread wheat). RNAcentral's name for it is "long non-coding RNA (TAES_LNC026260)". The record is from RNAcentral. Lineage: Eukaryota; Viridiplantae; Streptophyta; Magnoliopsida; Poales; Poaceae.